GGUGUGUCUGUGAUGAGCCCACGGAACACUGCGCCAGGCGUGGCGCCCGAAAAGCAUGAGGAGACUUUCCAUGCUGCCUUCCUUCUGAGAUUACACC
This is a small nucleolar RNA of Lepisosteus oculatus (spotted gar), 97 nucleotides long. The record is from Ensembl. NCBI's taxonomy places the organism in Eukaryota, Metazoa, Chordata, Actinopteri, Semionotiformes, Lepisosteidae.